Otolemur garnettii (small-eared galago) is the source of this 97-nucleotide small nuclear RNA. Lineage: Eukaryota; Metazoa; Chordata; Mammalia; Primates; Galagidae. The record is from Ensembl.
GUGCUCGCUUUGGCAGCACAUACUCUAAAAUUGGAACUGUGCAGAGAUUAGCAGGCCCCUGUGCGUGGAUGACAUCUGGGAAGGGUCCCAUACUUUG